This 253-nucleotide ribosomal RNA is filed under the name uncultured bacterium. RNAcentral's name for it is "partial 16S ribosomal RNA". It matches the Rfam family "Bacterial small subunit ribosomal RNA", at positions 524 to 776 of the family's 1533-position model. The record is from RNAcentral.
UACGGAGGGGGCUAGCGUUGUUCGGAAUUACUGGGCGUAAAGGGCGCGUAGGCGGCCUUCUAAGUCAGACGUGAAAUCCCCAGGCUUAACUUGGGAACUGCGUCUGAUACUGGGAGGCUUGAGUGCGGGAGAGGGAUGUGGAAUUCCCGGUGUAGUGGUGAAAUGCGUAGAUAUCGGGAGGAACACCAGUGGCGAAGGCGACUUCCUGGCCUGUUCUUGACGCUGAGGCGCGAAAGCUAGGGGAGCAAACGGG